UACGGAGGGUGCAGGCGUUAUCCGGAAUUAUUGGGCGUAAAGCGUCUGUAGGCGGACAAUUAAGUGUGAUAUUAAAGACAACAGCUCAACUGUUGCGUGGUAUCUCAAACUGAUUGUCUAGAGGCUUGGAGAGGUUAGUAGAAUUCUACAUGUAGGGGUUAAAUCCGUAGAUAUGUAGAGGAAUACCAAAAGCGAAAGCAGCUAACUGGACAAGUUCUGACGCUCAGAGACGAAAGCGUGGGGAGCAAACAGGAUUAGAUACCCUGGUAGUCCACGCCGUAAACGAUGGAUACUCGGUGUCAGGUUACUCAAUCGACCUGGUGCCUAAGCUAACGCGUUAAGUAUCCCGCCUGGGGAGUACGGUCGCAAGAUUAAAACUCAAAGGAAUAGACGGGGACCCACACAAGCGGUGGAGCAUCUUGUUUAAUUCGAUAAUAAACGGGGAACCUUACCUAGGCUUGACAUCCCACAGAAUUUUCUGGAAACAGAAAAGUGCCUUUUGGAACUGUGGUGACAGGCGCUGCAUGGUCGUCGUCAGCUCGUGCCUUGAGGUGUUCGGUUAAGUCCGUAAACGAGCGCAACCCUAGUCGCAUGUUGUAUUUUUCAUGCGAGACUGCCGGUUACAAAUCGGAGGAAGGUUAGGUUGAAGUCAGAUCAGCAUGGCCCUUAUGCCUAGGGCUACAAAGGUGCUACAAUGGUAUGUACAGCGGGCAGCGAAGGAGUGAUCCUAAGCCAAUCCCUUAAAGCAUAUCUAAGUUCGGAUUGUAGUCUGCAACUCGACUACAUGAAGUUGGAAUCGCUAGUAACCGCAUAUCAGCCAUGGUGCGGUGAAUUUGUUCCUGGGUCU
Molecule: ribosomal RNA, 847 nt
Filed under: uncultured bacterium
Lineage: Bacteria
Description: SSU rRNA
Rfam family: Bacterial small subunit ribosomal RNA
Source: RNAcentral